RNAcentral lists this ribosomal RNA (469 nucleotides) under uncultured bacterium. Its description in RNAcentral is "partial 16S ribosomal RNA". It matches the Rfam family "Bacterial small subunit ribosomal RNA", at positions 27 to 507 of the family's 1533-position model. The record is from RNAcentral.
GGACGAACGCUGGCGGCGUGCUUAACACAUGCAAGUCGAACGGAAAGGCCCUGCUUUUGUGGGGUGCUCGAGUGGCGAACGGGUGAGUAACACGUGAGUAACCUGCCCUUGACUUUGGGAUAACUUCAGGAAGCUGGGGCUAAUACCGGAUAGGAGCUCCUGCUGCAUGGUGGGGGUUGGAAAGUUUCGGCGGUUGGGGAUGGACUCGCGGCUUAUCAGCUUGUUGGUGGGGUAGUGGCUUACCAAGGCUUUGACGGGUAGCCGGCCUGAGAGGGUGACCGGCCACAUUGGGACUGAGAUACGGCCCAGACUCCUACGGGAGGCAGCAGUGGGGAAUAUUGCACAAUGGGCGGAAGCCUGAUGCAGCAACGCCGCGUGCGGGAUGACGGCCUUCGGGUUGUAAACCGCUUUCGCCUGUGACGAAGCGUGAGUGACGGUAAUGGGUAAAGAAGCACCGGCUAACUACGUG